This 723-nucleotide ribosomal RNA is filed under the name Triticum aestivum (bread wheat). RNAcentral describes it as "partial small subunit ribosomal RNA". The record is from RNAcentral. Lineage: Eukaryota; Viridiplantae; Streptophyta; Magnoliopsida; Poales; Poaceae.
UUUUCUAGUAUUUGGCGGUCCCGUGUGCCUCCGAAAAUCAAAGUCUUCCUCUGGCAAACCUCCAGAGGGCGUCUCCCUGAUGCCGAUCAAAUCCGCAAGAGGAAUGGCCCAGGCUCGGAAUUUUGUGCUCUUUGUGGUGUUGUGGAAAACACGAAUCAUAUUUUCUUCCACUGUGUGCUUGCUAAGCUUGUUUGGAGCUGCGUCAGAUCCUGGCUCCAGAUCACUUGGGAUCCCUCCUCCUUUAAUGACCUGAGAGGUCUUGCCAAUUCUUUGGCUGGCGUGACAAAAAGGGUUUUCUGGGUUGGCCUGGGUGCCAUUUGUUGGUCGCUAUGGACUACUAGAAAUAAAUUUACGACCGAACAUGUUUUUCCUACUAAACCUGCUGACUGUUUAUUUAAAUCAUGUAUCUUCUUGCAGCAGAGGAGAUUAUUGACUAAGCCGGAGGACCGGGAGCUCUUGAUCUUCACAUUUCUAAAGUUCGGGCCUCGGCGUCGUCUCUCUCUGGGCAGGAUCUUGGUGUCUAGACCUACGCGUUUUGGAGUUUCUUCGCUGGCUUCAUCUUUCGUACUUUCUCCGGCCUGCGUGCCGUGUUUGGCAGGGUGCCAUGUAUCCGUCGUACUUUUCCAGAUCGUCUAUGCGUGCCCGCGUUUGGGUGAACUUGUUGUUUCGUCCUCGUUGAUGUUGUUGUUGCUCUCUGACUCUGCCUUGUGGCCUUUUCUCUAA